RNAcentral lists this long non-coding RNA (6293 nucleotides) under Sus scrofa (pig). RNAcentral describes it as "lncRNA (ENSSSCG00040063748.1)". Lineage: Eukaryota; Metazoa; Chordata; Mammalia; Artiodactyla; Suidae. The record is from RNAcentral.
CAGUGGUAUGAAGACAGCUGUGCCCAGAGCAUUUAUUCUAUAGAACAAUAUCAGGCGAUGGCCUCAUAUUCACAUGAGAAUACAUCUUCAGGAAGCAACAAGAUUGAGAAACCAAACUUUGAUCUAUAUCCUUUGAUUAUGGGAAAAAUACGAGUGUAAUUCACUCUUUAGAAGCCAUGUAAUUUUUGGAGACUUCAAUUGAAAAAGUACAGCUAAGGUGUGCUGUGUCUGUAAGGCAAGUAAGCACAUUCUCAAUGAAGAGGGUGUUGUGAAAUUCCUUCCAGAGAAAUCUGGCAUUCAUUCUACAUUAACCUGGAGGCUGAGGAACCCUGAAAUUGUUCCAGUUAGUUCUUACUCUGCCAGGGACAAAAAUCUUCCCCAGACGUCCCUCUGCCUUACAUCUCUUUGGCAGAAGGGGUCUCAUGGCCUUUCUGAGCUACAAGGAUGGCUGGAAAAAGCAAGUCUCUCUCCUUUUAGUUCCUCUCUAAAAAAGGCAGUUUUUCAGCAUCUACAUUAGGAGACAUCACUGCCUACCAGUAGCCUCCCCACUCUUGGGAAUGGACUCUGGCAAAUUUACCACUGUAGCAGUCGACACUUCCCAUCUAGCAUGGAAGAAUGGGGUUCCAACCUUUGUUGCACUAUUUUUGAAAGACAGUCAGUAUAGGAGUGGCUGGACCAAGUCUAUUUAAAUUGCUUUGAAAUUAACCCAGUAAAGCACCACAAAACACUGCAAGCUAAAGAAGAGAGUGGGAAAAGUUGCACUGGCAUCAAUCUGUUUCUCACAACUGCCUUGUGAAGGAGGCAGGUAGCCAUCAACCAUCCUACUGAUUUUAUAAAUGAGGAUGCACAGUUAAAGGGGCAGCAGUUUGAAUUCAAGGAACCAAGUGUGAAGAGUUUCAUUUCUAGGCUCUGAAUGACCAAGGGUGUCUGGACUGUAAGUUUUCUGCUCAAAACAUGUUUGCUAUAGGUCCUCCGACAGCUGGAAUUCAUCUGAAGUACGUAGAUCUCUCUUUUUAAGAUAUUGGGUCUCUGAUGUCCAUGCUUUACAUCAAAAUUUGUAAUUUUUUUGCUGUAAAUAGUUGGAGAAUGGCAUAGGAUGACCUUUUGUUAGGCAAUGUAAAAUAUGUAUAUAUAUACACACACACAUGCACACACACAAUAAACUUUGUGAGCUAAUUCUAGAAUAGUCUUCCAUUAAUAGUAAAGUAGGAAACAUGGACUUACAUGUUAUCCUGGACAUUACUCUUUGUUUUUAUUGUAUUCAUAAACUAUUGAAGGAGGAGAAGCUCUCCUUGGAGGACAAGUGUGAUGGAGUUUGACUGUCCUUUAGUUCUAUCUUAAUCACCAAAAUGACAGGACCUCACACCUGUCUUCCUUCUAGUGAUGUCAGGUGGUUGCAACAAAGCAUGGAGGCAACCAGCACAUUAUUCCAAAAGUAUCUCCUUGAUCUGAAAAUGAAGAGAACAACUUGAUGUGAAUAAAACCCAAAGCAUUUUGGGAAAUGUUAGUCUUUCCUGAUCCCCUUUCUCUCCUUGGGAUAGAUUUAGUUGAAAGCGACGGAAUUUUGAUACUGCUUAAACACAUGAGAAGUUUCCUUUUUCUUGCUAAAACUGGACAUGGCCAUUUCGGGGGCAAAUAUAGCUGCUCUAGGGCCAGGCUCAUUUCACCUUUAUGCUUUGGUGUCCUUUGUGCAUAAUGGCUGAGCAUCUAAGUAUGUCAGCAUUCCAGAAACAAAGAAGGAAGAAGAAGGAGGAAGAAGUGGCUAUAUGAGAAUUUGGAACAUUUCCAGAAACCCCAGUAAACGUACAUCUUGUUGUCCUGAACCAAGUCCCACAGUGAUCAUUUGCUGCAGUAGAGUCUGACAACUGCUUUUUUCCCCCUCUGGACACAUUUCCUUUCCUGCAGGAGCUGAGAUUCUCUCGAUGAGGAUGGAAUAGGGAAGCGAUAUUGCCCAGGCAAUGCACCAUGGAGACCAGACCUAUCAGAGUCCAGCAGAGGAUGGUGCCCGGGCUUGGUGUGUUGGUCAUUGCUCACUACAAAUGCAAGUCAAAAUGAUAAAUGUCAAACACAAACUACCAUUUUCUUUUCUUUUUUGAGUAAAGCAAUAGCAGCCUUCCUAGUCAUGUUUACUCUUGCACCGAAUGGACGUUUGUUUUCUUGUGUUAUGUGUGUCGUUUUACAAUUGUUACCAAUUUUGGUGAAGAAGUGAAGGUUCAUUUGAUGAGAAGGGGACUUUUGGAGGGGCCAGUUCAUUCAGUUUUCAGAGGGGUCUGAUCUUCAUCUGGUGCACAGGUCCUGGGUGCCUGGCCUCCCCUUGGGAACCACGGUCUCUUAACCCUGCCUCAAGCUGCAGAGGAUUUAAGGUAAAGGCUGGGGAGCAGCUUCUGUGUCACAAGGUGGCCCAUUUAGUGCUGUGCCUGAUCUGGCUGUCUGGCUGGUUCUGUGGGGAUGCUCCUGAUGGUGUCCCAGCCAAUAGGUCACCAGUACAUUUAAACAGAGCCAGGGUAGUGUGGCAUGUACAGCCUGACAGCAUCUUGAGUGGAGGUCUUUUCCAAGGGACUUAAAAAUGGGAUAGGCAUUCUAAGCUGGUGGACUCAUGGGGUUAGCCUUUCACAACCAUGAUACUUAGUUGAACAUUUUUUUUCCUAACUUCUUCUCCUCCUCCAUUAUUUCCUUUCAUCUUUUUCUCCAUUUAGGUUUUGUCCUAGAAGCCUUUUUAGAAGAAUCUAGAAGUCACUUUUCUAACUUCCUACCUACAGGCAUCUUGGAGGACCUCACCUGGUUCUUUGUGCAAACAUCUCCAGACAGACAUGCGUCGUCUCCAAGUCAGCCAGUUCUGAAGAGUGUGUCAGAAGGGUGUUGCUCAUAUUAAGCAGAUACCUCCUGUUAGAUUUCAGAAUAUUGUACUAACAGUGAAACUCCAAAACCCAACUGAGUAAGAUUUUGACAAAAAGGAUGAUUGCACUAACUGGGUAUUACACUGCUAGGCCUUCCCUUUUGCAUGAGGAUUUGUUGAUUCAGAAGUGAGUGAUAAUAAGCCUCUGUUAGAAAAUUUGGAGGGAAAGUAUCUAUGAAGCUCAGCAAUAAUUCUGAAAAAUGCUAUGCAGUGUUAAAAAGAAACUAACAGUGUUAUCUGCCAUUGUGACUGGCAACUUCAUUGUGGGUUUUUUUGGUUUGUUUUGUUAUUUGUCUUUUUAUGCACCUGAGGCAUAUGGAAGUUCCCAGGCUAAGGGUCGAAUUGGAGCUUCAGCUACUGGCCUACGCCACAGCCACAGCAGCACAGGAUCCAAGCCAUGUCUGUGAGCUACACCACAGCUUGUGGCAAUGCUGGAUCCUUAACCCAAUGAGCCAGGCCAGGAAUUGAACCCAUGUCCUCAUGGAUACUAGUUGGGUUCAUUACCACUGAGCCAUCAUGGAAACUCCAUGACUGGCAACUUUAAAAUUAAAACAUUGAGGAUAAUUCCUUGCAAGGAUCUCUCUCCAUCUUCAGCAAGAUUGUAAAACAGGGUUAACUUCCUUCUUUUCUCCCUACCCUUCUCCUUCCCUCCUUCCUUUUCUUCCUUUCCUUCAUGCUUUCUUUCCAAAGCUUAUAACUAUGAGCAUUUUAAGGAAAAGAAGGUAAUCCCUUUUAUUUGACCUCAUGAGAAAAGGUGUCAGGAGUCAGUAUUUGAGUGUUUGGUCAGGUGAGAUGGGAGAUAUUGAAUAGAAACAGAUGGACCAAUGCCAUGAUUUUUACUGGGUCUCCUGGAGUGACUCGGUCAUGGUUAUUCAGGUUACUGUUUCACAGAGUAAAUAGAUAUGCAGCCCACAGGCAGCCAUCACUGAUACUUCCUUAUCCUUUACUUUGGGAGGGCAAAGCAUUUGCGAAUGCUGAUGAAUACUCAGCUAUUUUCAACGAGUUUGCCCAGGAUGCAGAUGACCUUCCCAAGUAAGAUGCCCCCAAGGAGGCACCUUGGAUUAUGUGACAUGGGGGGCAAGCAGCCUGCGGUUUUAUCCCUGUCUCUCUUAAAAUCAGACUACAUUAAAGAAGAGACUGGCGAUAUGAGGGAAACAAGUAGAGGUGCCAUAUUUGUUUUUGAAAAGUUGUCACACCUGAUUUUAACUAAGCUUGUAGAUGUUGGCAGUUGAAGACUAUCAAAAGGUCAAAGGCCUCCCAUAGAGUUCAUCAGAGUCUAUAUCCAGAGUUUCCUGCAGUGAGGGAGUCAGCUACUAUGGGAUGACUCCUGCUAAAGACGCAAAGGGAUUUGAAAGGGCAGAGUUUUAUGAAGUCAAAGGAAGAAAUCUCAGUCUUUGGUCAGUGUCCUAUUUGGGAGAGAUUUCCCCUUAGGGUGGGACUGGGGAAGUGGACUGGAGGUUGUGGGAGGGGGUAGUAGUGGGUGAGGAGUUUUCUGAUUGACUUUUAAAUUCAUUCAGCUGUCUGAUUGGCUCACUUCUCAGGCUGGGUUUUUUCUGUUCCAAGUGAAAGAAUAUCUGGUUCUCUGCUUUGGGUUCCAAGUCUAGCCUAAGCCAUUGCUGCAGGAUUGUUGCACUGAACUGAAAGCUCCUUGUUCAGCAUAUACCAGUGCCAGGUAUGUAGUAAAGGGCCCAUAAGUAUCUGUAGAAUAAUGAAACAUUUUAUAAGAGGGAUUUUUCUCCCAAUGUUGUAUUCUAAAAACUUUCAAAUCCAAAAAUUGAAAGAAUUAUACAGUAAACAUUCAUAUAACCACCACUUAUAUUCUAUAAUUAAAAUAUUAGUAUAUUUGCUUCAUGAAGUAUCUAUCCAUAUAUUCACUCCACAAGAGGAAUUUUCAUAUGAUGCACUGGAUUAAGCUAAUAAGAAAACAAAUAGUUUAUAGCCUUACAUAAUUACAUGAGGAGAGAUCCUAGCCCAAGAGAAUAAUGAGCAAUAGUUCUAGAAACAUCUUAAUUGCCCCUGCAACCCACUGUUGUUUGCCAAAUAUGGGAAGGGCUCAGGUCCUAUAUAAGGCUUUUAGUAUCUUCGGACUUUAGGCAGUUAUGGUGCCAAAGGUUCAUUUGUUGAUAAUAUUACUGAGCCAUGAUUUGCCCAUGCUUAAAAAUGAUUACUAUUAAACUUGUAGGGAGAAAUGCCAAUUUAAAAAACCAUAUUAGGGAUUUUAAGCUUCAUGGAGCUACUACAAUCAGUGUUUGUCAUAUGAUUUUUUUUUGAAGAGUCCAUGGAAGUCAACUUAAUUCACAAAUGGAAGUUGAUUCUGUAGACUAGAUGAGCCAGGUGAAAGCUGAAUAUGCCUGCUGCAUCAAAGACUAUUAGGAGGCUGGUUCUCAAAAUAUGUUUGCUUGUUUUUUUUUGUUUUUUUUUUUCUGUUCUAUAUUCUUUCUUGAGAGUCAAUGUAUUUCUGCACUAUUACUCUCAAUCUGUGCACUAUGGAAAGUCUAGCCUCUGGCCUCUGGCCAGGGAGGGGAGGACUUGUGACCAUGGGAGUCGGUGAAGCCUUCAACCAUAGAGCCAACACCUUGAGUUUGGGUGCAGCCUCUGUCCUUCAUAGUUGAGGCAAGUUAAUUACCUGCCCUGAGUCUCAAUUUCUGGAUCAUGGAAUUAAUUUAAUCCACAAGGAAAUUACCUCCCAAGGUUUUUUUUUGUUGUUGUUGUUGUUGUUUUGUCUUUUUGCCAUUUCUUGGGCUGUUCCUUGCGGCAUAUGGAGGUUCCCAAGCUAGGGGUCUAAGGAGCUGUAGUCGCCAGCCUACAUCACAGCCACAGGAACAGGGGAUCCGAGCCGCGUCUGCGGCCUAUACCACAGCUCACAGCAACGCUGGAUCCUUAACCCACUGAGCAAGGGCAGGGAUUGAACCCGAAACCUCAUGGUUCCUAGUCGGAUUUGUUAAACCACUGCGCCACGACGGGAACUCCUCUCCCAAGGUUUUGAUAAAGAUGAAAUGAAAUGCUGUGUGUCAGAUGCCUGGCUCAUAGUGACAACCAGAAAACGCUAGUUGUCAUCAGUUAAAAUGUGGUAAAAAUCAUAUACUUAGGAGGAAAAUUAAAAUAUACAUAUAUUGGAAUUCCUGUUAUGGCUUUGCAGGUUAAGAACUCGAUUAGUAUCCAUGAGGAUGUGGGUACAGGUACGAUCCCUGGCCUUGCUCAGUGGAUUAAGGAUCCGACAUUGCUUCAAGCUGCAGCGUAGGUCACAGAUAUGGCUCGGAUCUGGUGUUGCUGUGUUUGUGGUGUAGGCCAGCAGCUGUAGCUCUGAUCCGACCCCUAGCCCUGGAACUCUCAUAUGACGCAUAUGACACAGGUACAGCCCUAAAAAGACCAAAAAAAAAAAAAAAAAAAAAAAAAA